UACGGGGGGAGCAAGCGUUGUUCGGAUUUACUGGGCGUAAAGGGCGCGUAGGCGGUCGUGACAAGUCACUUGUGAAAUCUCCGGGCUUAACUCGGAACGGUCAAGUGAUACUGUCGGACUAGAGUACAGAAGGGGCAACUGGAAUUCUCGGUGUAGCGGUGAAAUGCGUAGAUAUCGAGAGGAACACCUGUGGCGAAGGCGGGUCUCUGGGCCGAUACUGACGCUGAGGAGCGAAAGCGUGGGGAGCGAACAGG
This 254-nucleotide ribosomal RNA is filed under the name uncultured bacterium. RNAcentral's name for it is "partial 16S ribosomal RNA". It matches the Rfam family "Bacterial small subunit ribosomal RNA", at positions 524 to 776 of the family's 1533-position model. The record is from RNAcentral.